Long non-coding RNA from Cyanistes caeruleus (blue tit), 1787 nucleotides. The record is from Ensembl. NCBI's taxonomy places the organism in Eukaryota, Metazoa, Chordata, Aves, Passeriformes, Paridae.
AUUUUGGGUGAAUUUUGGUUGAAUUUUGGUUGAAUUUUGGGUGAAUUUUGGAUAAAAUUUGGUUGAAUUUUGGGUGAACUUGGGGUGAUUUUGGGGUGAAUUUUGGGUUAAAUUUUAGAUAAAUUUUGGGUGAUUUUGGGGUGAAUUUUGGGUGAAUUUAAACCAAAUUUUGGGUGAAUUUUGGGUGAUUUUGGGUUAAAUUUUGGGAUAAAUUUUGGGUGAUUUUGGGUUAAAUUUCGGGUGAAUUUUGGGUGAUUUUGGGGUAAAUUUCGGGUGAAUUUUGGGUGAUUUUGGGUUAAAUUUUGGGAUAAAUUUCGGGUGAAUUUUGGGUUAAAUUUUGGAUAAAUUUUGGUUAAAUUUUGGUUGAAUUUUGGGUGAUUUUGGGUUAAAUUUUGGGGUCCCCCCAGCCCCGGGGGUCUCCGUGCCCCCCUCCCCUCCUGGCGGGCGGUGCUGGGGCGGCUGCGGCUGCAGGGAGUGACCGGAAACCGGAGUGACCACACGAGUGACCACACCAGUGACCACACGAGUGACCACACCAGUGACCACACCAGUGACCACACGAGUGACCACACCAGUGACCACACCAGUGACCACACGAGUGACCACCGGAGUGACCACACGAGUGACCACAUGAGUGACCUGGCCGGAAACACCACUGACCACCUGAGUGACCACUGGAGUGAUCACCUGAGUGACCUGGUUGGAAACUGGAGUGACCAUGGGAGUGACCACGGGACUGACCCUAAGGAUGACCCCAGGAGUGACCACUCGAGUGACCCCAGGAGUGACCACCCAAAUGACCACCGGAGUGACCACAGGAGUGACCACAGGAGUGACCACUCAAAUGACCACCGGAGAGACCCCAGGAGUGACCCCAGGAGUGACCACAGGACUGACCCCAGUGAUGACCCCAGGAGUGACCCCGGGAGUGACCCCAGGAGUGACCCCAGUGAUGACCCCAAGAAUGACCACUCGAGUGACCCCGGGAGUGACCCCGGGAGUGACCCCGGGAGUGACCCCGAGCCGGGUCAGGAGCUGUCCGUGGCCGAAGUCGUUGUCCACCCGCGGUUCCGCGGUGUCCGGAGGGGUCACGACCUGGCCUUGGUCCGGCUCCGGCCUCCGGCCACGCUCGGACCUCGGGUGGGCACCGUCUGCCUGCCCCUCCCCCACCACCCCCCGCCCUUCGGCCGCGGCUGCUGGAUGGCCGGCUGGGGUCACCUGGGGGAGGACGGUGAGUGACCGCUCCAAAAUGACCCAAAAUGACAGGAAACUGACCCAAAACUGACCCAAAACCCCAAAAUCUGAUCAAAAAAUGACCCAAAACCCCAAAAUCUGAUCAAAAACUGAUCCAAAAUGACCCAAACUGACCUAAAACUGAUCCAAAAUGACCCAAACUGACCCAAAACCCCAAAAUCUGAUCAAAAACUGACCCAAAACCCCAAAAUCUGAUCAAAAAAUGACCCAAAAUGACCCAAACUGACCCAAAACUGACCCAAAACCCCAAAAUCUGAUCAAAAAAUGACCCAAACUGACCCAAACUGACCCAAACUGACCCAAACUGACCCAAAACCCCAAAAUCUGAUCAAAAACUGACCCAAAAUGGACCCAAACUGACCCAAAACUGACCCAAACUGACCCAAAACCCCAAAAUCUGAUCAAAAAAUGACCCAAAAUGACCCAAACUGACCCCAAACUGACCCAAACUGACCCAAAAUGACCCAAAACUGACCCAAACUGACCCCAAACUGACCCAAACUGACCCAAACUGACCCAAACUGACCCAAACU